Molecule: unclassified non-coding RNA, 356 nt
Filed under: fungal sp.
Lineage: Eukaryota; Fungi
Description: partial internal transcribed spacer region
Rfam family: Eukaryotic small subunit ribosomal RNA (bases 1-46)
Source: RNAcentral
AAGUCGUAACAAGGUUUCCGUAGGUGAACCUGCGGAAGGAUCCUCGCAUCAACGCUUGUAUACCAACAUUCAAACUCAAUGUGAAAUGUAACGUCCCUAAUUGCAUUCGUCUCCUCUAAUUUAUUAGUUGAUUCGCGUGUCGUUAGACAAUACCCCCAGUUAAUUCUCUGGUGCUGCUAUUGGAAUUUAUUUCAGUGGUGGUGAUCAGGUUUUAGCGUUAAUCACCAAUUUUUAACCCUAUAAACUAAAUGUUUGUCUUAUCUUCUUCAGACUGAGAAAUUGAGAAUUUACUUCUUCUUUUAUCAGCUUUGUUACGAAAUAUUGAACAACUCUUAGCAAUGGAUAUCUUGGGUCAU